RNAcentral lists this transfer RNA (72 nucleotides) under Camelus bactrianus (Bactrian camel). It matches the Rfam family "tRNA". Rfam says of the family: Transfer RNA (tRNA) molecules are approximately 80 nucleotides in length. Their secondary structure includes four short double-helical elements and three loops (D, anti-codon, and T loops). The record is from Rfam by way of RNAcentral. RNAcentral also lists the same sequence under 2 other names. Lineage: Eukaryota; Metazoa; Chordata; Mammalia; Artiodactyla; Camelidae.
GGGGAUAUAGCUCAAUGGUAGAGUGCAUGCUUAGCAUGCAUGAGGUCCUGGGAUCAAUCCCCAGUACCUCCA